RNAcentral lists this transfer RNA (95 nucleotides) under Pseudomonas brenneri. RNAcentral describes it as "tRNA-Pro". Lineage: Bacteria; Pseudomonadati; Pseudomonadota; Gammaproteobacteria; Pseudomonadales; Pseudomonadaceae. The record is from RNAcentral.
CGAGCGGCUCGGAUUGGCAUAACCCGAGGCGCUGGGGCCGUCAUCAAAGGUCAGCAGAAAGCGGAUCGGCGCCUGUGCGAUCAGGCGUUGCUCGG